RNAcentral lists this ribosomal RNA (390 nucleotides) under uncultured Chrysophyceae. RNAcentral describes it as "partial small subunit ribosomal RNA". It matches the Rfam family "Eukaryotic small subunit ribosomal RNA", at positions 30 to 432 of the family's 1831-position model. The record is from RNAcentral. Lineage: Eukaryota; Chrysophyceae.
GCUUGUCUCAAAGAUUAAGCCAUGCAUGUGUAAGUAUCAGAAGUCUGAACUUCAAAACUGCGAAUGGCUCAUUAUAUCAGUUAUAGUUUAUUUGAUAGUACCUUACUACUUGGAUAACCGUAGUAAUUCUAGAGCUAAUACAUGCAUAAAACCCUAACUUCUGGAAAGGGUGUAUUUAUUAGAUGGAAACCAAUGCGGGGUAACCCGGAAUAUGGUGAUUCAUAAUAACUUUCGGAUCGAUUUAUCGAUGCAUCAUUCAAGUUUCUGCCCUAUCAGCUUUGGAUGGUAGGGUAUUGGCCUACCAUGGCUUUAACGGGUAACGGAGAAUUAGGGUUCGAUUCCGGAGAGGGAGCCUGAGAAACGGCUACCACAUCCAAGGAAGGCAGCAGG